This 832-nucleotide small RNA is filed under the name Malus domestica (apple). Its description in RNAcentral is "sRNA MD14G0049000". The record is from RNAcentral. Lineage: Eukaryota; Viridiplantae; Streptophyta; Magnoliopsida; Rosales; Rosaceae.
GUUUGAAAGCCUCAAACAUGGCGGCACGAAAUGGAGGUACAGUGACGGUCGACAACCGCCUCCGUUGGCGAUGAAUUUGGCCGUCAGAAAGGGUCUUAUGAUAUGUCAAUUAUUCUUUUUGCGUUUGAUUGGGAGUAUAUAAAUUACGGUUUUUGGGGAUUUUACUCAAAUGAAAACUGACUUUUCUGUUGCCGGCGACCUCUGCUUGCUUGCUCCCUUUCUCAGUCGAUGAGUUUAUAAGAAAGGGACAGGGUAGGGGUGGUUUGAACUGCAGGAUGGGUUCUUCCUAAUCAUACUUAACUUAAGAAGAUGAUUGUCAUCUGUACCAGCAUACUAAAAUCAUUUGUGCACUCCGUGUGCUAAACUGCAUCCUACCCUGCAUUCAUGUUAAAAUCAUUGAGAAGAAGAUGGCUACUCAAAUCUAAAAGUUACUUAAAGGCAGUUCCUGGCUUCUUGUGAACUCUUUCAUCCAAUGACAUGCUCUAUAGCAUCAUUGGAAAGAGUAGCAAAAGCAAAAGAGUUUAUGUGCGUUGUAGAAACCAGAAAACAAAAGAACCUGAUGGUGGUCGAAAUCUUGACCCAAAUCACAAAAAAGCACAAAUCUUAAUCCAAGAACUUCAAAGAACCCAGCGGAAGACCGACACUGAGGACUGUCCCGCGAGUGAUACCAUGAUAACAGAAGUGAAGGAUUGCUGAGAAUGUAACAAUGUUGCAGAGAAAGUAACAAGCAAAGAAGAGAGAAGAACAACUCUUGAGAGAGAAAGAGAGAAAAUGUAAAUUGUAUUUCUGUAUUGCUUAAUCGAAAUGAUCAGAGUUAUUACUCUGUUUAUAU